UCCCGCUUCUGGCGGGCAGUUGCGUAUGACAUGUAAAACAUACGCCGAGGGUUGCGCUCGUUGCGGGACUUAACCCAACAUCUCACGACACGAGCUGACGACAGCCAUGCAGCACCUGUAACUCCUCCCUUGCGGGUCGCUUCCCUUUCGGGUCGCUACCAGAGCUAUGUCAAACCUAGGUAAGGUUCUUCGCGUCGCAUCGAAUUAAACCACACGCUCCGCUGCUUGUGCGGGUCCCCGUCAAUUCCUUUGAGUUUUAGCCUUGCGGCCGUACUCCCCAGGCGGUAUGCUUAUCGCGUUAGCUGAGGCGCGCACGGUUUUACCCGCACACACCGAGCAUACAUCGUUUACGGCGUGGACUAC
RNAcentral lists this unclassified non-coding RNA (363 nucleotides) under uncultured Anaerolineae bacterium. RNAcentral describes it as "contains 16S-23S intergenic spacer region". Lineage: Bacteria; Bacillati; Chloroflexota; Anaerolineae. The record is from RNAcentral.